UUUUUUUCUGUGUGACAUGUGGCAGUUUUGCCUCUGUUAUUAGAUAUAGAUAGAUUAAGGAAAUUAAAAGUGGACGAACCAAAAACUUCUUCAGUUUCAAGUUAAGAUUAACUUAAAUAGAACAUUAGGACAGUUUUAAUUCCAUUAUUCUGGGAAGAGAAAGCCAGCAACAUAGAAAAAAAAAAGAAACUUAUGGUGAAAUUUGGGAGAGUUUAUAGACGAAAAAAACUUUAAACCACUGUUGGCGCCUGUCAAAACUACAGAUUGAAGCUAUUGAAGGUUAUUUAGUUGGUGUUUUACGCAUUGUGAGGUUGAGAAACUUGUCAAAACGAGAUAUAGUUGCGGAGGGGGAGACUUGUGGCUGACGGUUCUUACGUGUGGAUUCUGUCACUAAGGUGAGACUUCACAUUGUUCAUGGAGGCUAUCAUCCGACUUUAGUUAUUUUUAGAUGAUAUUUUUUUCCGUUGGGUUUGCAUGCCCGAAAGUCGAACUCAUGUAAAUUUGUUUAGAUGCUCCAUGGUCUUGGUGUGGGAUUUGAGGCUAGAGAGUUAUUAUCUAAGUAUUGUUGUUUUCAUAAACCGUAUUAAUCUAACUGGGUGGUUAACUACUUUGCGUUUAAUAAUUAUUUCAUGAUUUGGAGUUGCAUAAGUUUCUAGCUCAGUGUUUGUAGACGUUGUGAAUGUAUGAAAAAUUGAUUCUCCCGGCAA
This is a long non-coding RNA of Capsicum annuum, 707 nucleotides long. RefSeq lists it as uncharacterized. NCBI's taxonomy places the organism in Eukaryota, Viridiplantae, Streptophyta, Magnoliopsida, Solanales, Solanaceae. The record is from RefSeq and is a predicted model, not a curated record. The transcript is spliced from 3 exons.